UCCUAAGGGUCUUAUCUUUUCUAAUCCAUAUCACGGACUGGAGACUGGCUCCCACACACAUCUCCGUGACCGCGUGGCCACUGCCUCCUAAGGGUCUUAUCUUUUCUAAUCCGUAUCACGGACUGGAGACUGGCUCCCACACACAUCUCCGUGACCGCGUGGCCACUGCCUCCUAAGGGUCUUAUCUUUUCUAAUCCAUAUCACGGACUGGAGACUGGCUCCCACACACAUCUCCGUGACCGCGUGGCCACUGCCUCCUAAGGGUCUUAUCUUUUCUAAUCCACACCACUGACUGGAGAUCGGCUCCCACACACAUCUCCGUGACCGCGUGGCCACUGCCUCCUAAGGGUCUUAUCUUUUCUAAUCCAUAUCACGGACUGGAGAUCGGCUCCCACACACAUCUCCGUGACCGCGUGGCCACUGCCUCCUAAGGGUCUUAUUUUAUCCAGACUCCUGUACCUCUAUAAUCCACUAGACUUUUACAAAAUACAAGUGAGAUCAUGCCCCCCGCACUUAAAAUCUUUCACUGUCCACAAAAUAAAAAAUAAAUUAUUUAGCAAGGCAUAUAAAACCUGACCCGAUCUACCUAUGCAGCCCUGUCUCCCUCUGCUGCCUCCAAACUCCAUGAGACUCCCUCUUCCUUCUUUCCCCCAUUACUGUCACGUUGGUAAGAUCCCACCCAUUCUUUUAAGAUUCAGAUUAAAACAGAAUUUGUCUAUGACCCCUGCCCUCAGCCCCUGCUUCAGCCUAUCAAUUCCUCUUCUGAGAUCCUGCUAUGCCUUGUACAGCAUAUACCAGUUUUGUUACAUCUGUUAUACUGGAAUCUUCUAUUAAUGUCUUUCUUCUCCAUACAAAAAUGGUGAACUCUUUGAAGGCAGAGAGUGUGUAUUUCUUAUCUUUGUGCCUUCAGUCCCCAGCAC
Molecule: long non-coding RNA, 920 nt
Filed under: Homo sapiens (human)
Lineage: Eukaryota; Metazoa; Chordata; Mammalia; Primates; Hominidae
Description: HSALNT0235728
Source: RNAcentral